RNAcentral lists this transfer RNA (77 nucleotides) under Planctomycetota bacterium. Its description in RNAcentral is "Planctomycetes bacterium tRNA-Met". It matches the Rfam family "tRNA". From Rfam's summary of the family: Transfer RNA (tRNA) molecules are approximately 80 nucleotides in length. Their secondary structure includes four short double-helical elements and three loops (D, anti-codon, and T loops). The record is from RNAcentral. Lineage: Bacteria; Pseudomonadati; Planctomycetota.
GGGCCCAUAGCUCAGUUGGUCAGAGCAGCAGACUCAUAAUCUGACGGUCCUUGGUUCGAGUCCAAGUGGGCCCACCA